AAUUAGCACGCGGGUUGUAUUUUCUCCCUCACUCGAAUCAGGCUCCCAAAUCCCCCAAAUUCCCAAUUAAACUGCCCAUCCACUAUUCUGCUCUCCUCUAAACCUGGACUCCAUCAUCAGCGACAAGAAAAACAUCAUUCCUUUUUGGUUAAUUUUUGGGUUUUGCUUGCUAAACUUCAAGGAAUUUGGGGGUUUUUGGAUCGUCACUUUCAUAAAUUUCAGAACAAGAAUCGAUCUCUUAUUGCGAGAAACCAAUAGUUCCUGCGGAGCUGUACUGAAAAGUGCGUGACUCUCAUCUUGUAGGACUUUCAGGCUACUCAAAAGAGGGGUUAACAGUUGAACUAGCUGGAAAAUGAUAUGUACCUUGAUGUGGCCUUAGGUAUGGACACUCUUGGGCACGCUGACCCUAUCUUCAGCCAACAAGACCUCCUCAUAACCCAUAUCUUCAGCAGAGUUAACUGGGAGGACGAAGUCAACGUCCAGCUGGUGUGCAAGAAGUGGGAAUUUGGUGGCGCCUCCGUCACUUGGCUCUCCGUCUCCCUUUCUAUGGCCCACAUGGUGAAGUGGCGGAGUGGAUUUUGAAGGACAUCGUCUUCCAUGGGGGCAGGGACUUCCACGCCUGGAUGACCAAAGACAUGACGGUGUACUUCGACGGAUUCCCUCUGCUGUUCAAGGAGGAUUAGGGAACCUAGGAUGUGGGUAGGGUAGGAAGGGGGGGUCUUUUUUUGGAGCAGCUGAUUAGGAAUGGAUGUAUAGUCAUGAUGCUGCUUAGUUAAGCUAAUUAUGGUGUUUUAGUUGCUUGUUCAAUGUCAUGGGACGGUAGUCUUUUGGAGUGACAAAAUGUAGGGCCUUUUGUAAUUUUGUCACUGCCGUGACAUUGUUUAGUUUCAUUUUAAUUAUGUCUGGUUUGUAAACAAAUAACAAUGCUGGUUUUUGGUGGUGGAUGUUUAUAAAUGAUAAAUUGGAAUGGUUUAUGCUUAUUUAUCAAUC
Molecule: long non-coding RNA, 990 nt
Organism: Chenopodium quinoa (quinoa)
Lineage: Eukaryota; Viridiplantae; Streptophyta; Magnoliopsida; Caryophyllales; Amaranthaceae
Exons: 4
Source: RefSeq, a predicted model, not a curated record